RNAcentral lists this ribosomal RNA (992 nucleotides) under uncultured Klebsiella sp. RNAcentral's name for it is "bacterial SSU rRNA". It matches the Rfam family "Bacterial small subunit ribosomal RNA", at positions 47 to 1033 of the family's 1533-position model. Lineage: Bacteria; Pseudomonadati; Pseudomonadota; Gammaproteobacteria; Enterobacterales; Enterobacteriaceae. The record is from RNAcentral.
CCUACCAUGCAGUCGAGCGGUAGCACAGAGAGCUUGCUCUCGGGUGACGAGCGGCGGACGGGUGAGUAAUGUCUGGGAAACUGCCUGAUGGAGGGGGAUAACUACUGGAAACGGUAGCUAAUACCGCAUAACGUCGCAAGACCAAAGUGGGGGACCUUCGGGCCUCAUGCCAUCAGAUGUGCCCAGAUGGGAUUAGCUAGUAGGUGGGGUAACGGCUCACCUAGGCGACGAUCCCUAGCUGGUCUGAGAGGAUGACCAGCCACACUGGAACUGAGACACGGUCCAGACUCCUACGGGAGGCAGCAGUGGGGAAUAUUGCACAAUGGGCGCAAGCCUGAUGCAGCCAUGCCGCGUGUAUGAAGAAGGCCUUCGGGUUGUAAAGUACUUUCAGCGGGGAGGAAGGCGAUAAGGUUAAUAACCUUGUCGAUUGACGUUACCCGCAGAAGAAGCACCGGCUAACUCCGUGCCAGCAGCCGCGGUAAUACGGAGGGUGCAAGCGUUAAUCGGAAUUACUGGGCGUAAAGCGCACGCAGGCGGUCUGUCAAGUCGGAUGUGAAAUCCCCGGGCUCAACCUGGGAACUGCAUUCGAAACUGGCAGGCUAGAGUCUUGUAGAGGGGGGUAGAAUUCCAGGUGUAGCGGUGAAAUGCGUAGAGAUCUGGAGGAAUACCGGUGGCGAAGGCGGCCCCCUGGACAAAGACUGACGCUCAGGUGCGAAAGCGUGGGGAGCAAACAGGAUUAGAUACCCUGGUAGUCCACGCCGUAAACGAUGUCGAUUUGGAGGUUGUGCCCUUGAGGCGUGGCUUCCGGAGCUAACGCGUUAAAUCGACCGCCUGGGGAGUACGGCCGCAAGGUUAAAACUCAAAUGAAUUGACGGGGGCCCGCACAAGCGGUGGAGCAUGUGGUUUAAUUCGAUGCAACGCGAAGAACCUUACCUGGUCUUGACUUCCACAGAACUUACCAGAGAUGCUUUGGUGCCUUCGGGAACUGUGAA